RNAcentral lists this ribosomal RNA (494 nucleotides) under uncultured bacterium. RNAcentral's name for it is "bacterial SSU rRNA". It matches the Rfam family "Bacterial small subunit ribosomal RNA", at positions 30 to 507 of the family's 1533-position model. The record is from RNAcentral.
AUGAACGCUAGCGGCAGGCUUAAUACAUGCAAGUUGAGGGCAGCAUGAUAUACGCGAGUAUAUUGAUGGCGACCGGCGGACGGGUGAGUAAUAGGUAGGAGACCUACCUCAUACAGGGGGAUAGCAUAGAGAAAUCUGUGGUAAUACCCCAUGAGGUUAUAUGAAUAGAGGCAUAUAAUCAAAGCAUAAGCGAUUAUGCGGUAUGAGAGGGGCCUACUGACCAUUAGCUAGUUGGUGAGGUAAGGGCUCACCAAGGCGAAGAUGGUUAGGGGUUUUGAGAGAGAGACCCCCCACAUUGGAACUGAGAGACGGUCCAGACUCCUACGGGAGGCAGCAGUAGGGAAUAUUGGGCAAUGGGCGAAAGCCUGACCCAGCCAUGCCGCGUGAAGGAAGACGGCCUUAUGGGUUGUAAACUUCUUUACUACGCGAAUAGAGGUUAGUACGAGAUACUAAUAGGAAGGUAGUGUAGUAAAAAAGCACCGGCUAACUCCGUG